UCCCAUGAGGUUCUGUGGCACGCCCUGUCCUAAGUUCUGAGCAAAUGGGUUCACUUCGGGGUACCUGUUUACACCCUCUUGGAGCAGUAAAAGGACUGCAGCAGAGGGGUGGAUAGAGGAUUCCAACCUAUUCAAUAUCGCCACUGGGAUACACAAGAUCGCCUUUAUUGUCAACAACAUCAGGUGCUUGGGCACACAGAUAAGGAAGCUGCACCAGUGACCAAGAUCAGACAGCAAUUCUGUGGCAAACUCAGGAGUAGAACCCAAGACUCUAAACAUCGUAGGAGGAGACAAGCUGUCACAAUUCCUUGCUAGUCAUAUGACAGAAAACUAAAAGAAACACCAACUGAAGUUUUAUAACUUGUUCUUUAGCCUGGAGAUUGCAGCCAACCUGCAUUCACCUGAAACAUUCUGAUAGAAUACAAACCCUCAAAAUGAGAAACAGACUGGCGAGGACACUGGAAUUUCAAGGAAUUUCAAAGAUUAGGGUAUCAGUCCAUUAUGAAGCAAGGUUUUUAAUUUUCUAUGGCCUGUUUUAAAGUGGAAGCAGCAAGCAGUGGAUGUGUUUUCAGAGCAAGUGUGUGUUCCAUAUAAGGAAGAGGAAAUUGCCUAAAUUCUGGAGAAACACCUUUCUAAGGACUUCUGGAGAUUCAGCACAGAGAAGGAUUGCUUGAAACCACAGCAUCCCUCUCAGGUGUGAGAGCUGAAGCCAAUCUAUUCCUUAGGAGUAGUACUAGUGAUUAACAUAGUCCUCUUUCUGAUUAACAAAUAUCUGCACACCAAUCGUAAUAACUGUGAAUCUAUUCAUUAUU
Long non-coding RNA from Mauremys reevesii (Reeves's turtle), 812 nucleotides. RefSeq lists it as uncharacterized. NCBI's taxonomy places the organism in Eukaryota, Metazoa, Chordata, Testudines, Geoemydidae. The transcript is spliced from 7 exons. The record is from RefSeq and is a predicted model, not a curated record.